This is a non-coding RNA of Aedes albopictus (Asian tiger mosquito), 58 nucleotides long. The record is from Rfam. Lineage: Eukaryota; Metazoa; Arthropoda; Insecta; Diptera; Culicidae.
UAGCCUAGUGGAGAAGGCUAUGGAUCGCCAAUCCGUAAACGGCGGGUUCGAUUCCCGU